CCAGUCGUCCCAGCGCGACCCAGAGCCAGCUAGGGAGAGGCAGGUGGGAGAGGAGAGGGGAGAAAGGGGCGCUAGGACCAAGAGAAGGCACGCGGGGGCCGGGAGGUCGAGAUUACAAAGAAAAGUGGGACGUGGGCUUAGGGUCCCAGAGGAAGAAAAGGACUGGACUAGGGAGAGAAUUGCCUAAUCAGAAGCAAAGGGAAAGAGAGGCGAGGGGCCAGAGGAGAGGGGAGGGAGAAGACGAGGGGUACAGGAGAAAGAGGGGUGGAGAGGGAAGGGAGAGAAUGGGAGGCCGGAGUGGGGAGGGAGUCAGGCAGGAAGCGGGCGGCGUUCGAGAGUCCUAGCAUGGGAAUGGGGCUCUGAGACAGCUGCGGAGGUUCCCUGGCUUCCAUGGAGGCACCGCCCCUCUUCUCUGCUCCUCACAGACAGCUUCCAGGAGAUUUUAGAAAUUGCUCUGUUCUUAAAUGGGAGAAGCGCUAAUGCCCAAAUGCUGAGAAGGAGUAAAGCGGAGAAAACAGAGAAAAACAGUCACAAGUAGAGAGAAGUAGGCAGGAAAGGCGGGAAGGGGAAUUGUCGAUAAAAGAGAGGCAAGCAGGAUGAGAAUGAGAGAAGGAAAGGGGGCUGGGGAGAGGGUCAGGGCUGUCACAUCCAGCAGGGGCUCUCCCUGAGUGCCUCACACUCACCCUGCUACCUUCUGUGCACACGGAGGACGGAGGCAACCUGAAGGUGAUACUUAACUAUCAGAAAACAUUUCCAGAUGAAGAAGGAAGAACAUCUGAACACAGACUGAGCUUACUGGAUAUUGAUGCCAGUGGCAAUAUUGGCAAACAAAUCUUGAAGAUAGAUGGCCAGAGAAAUGAUGGAAACUGUGUCUGAGUCACUACUUGGAAGAGAGCCACCAAACCAGGAGCACUUACAUCCGACUGGAAUGUUGAUCCCAAAGGCGUCAGAUGGAGAGUAAAUACAAGGAGAUACUCUUGCUAACGGGCCUGGAUAACAUCACUGAUGAGGAACUGGAUAGGUUUAAGUUCUUUCUUUCAGACGAGUUUAAUAUCGCCACAGGCAAACUACAUACUGCAAACAGAAUACAAGUAGCUAACUUGAUGAUUCAAAAUGCUGGUGCAGUGUCUGCAGUGAAGAAGACGAUUCUUAUUUUUCAGAAGUUGAAUUAUAUGCUUUUGGCAAAACGUCUUCAGGAAGAGAAGGAGAAAGUUGAUAAGAAAUACAAAUCGGUAACAAAACCAAAGCCACUAAGUCAAGCUGAAAUGAGUCCUGCUGCAUCUGCAGCCAUCAGAAAUGAUGUCACAAAGCAACGUGCUGCACCAAAAGUCUCUCCUCAUGUUAAGCCUGAGCAGAAACAGAGGGUGGCCCAGCAGGAAUCUAUCACAGAAGAGUUUCGGAAAGACUGUUUGCCAGUUAUGGUACUGAAAGCAACAAAGCCCUUCACGUUUGAGACCCAAGAAGGCAAGCAAGAGAUGUUUCAUGCUACAGUGGCUACAGAGAAGGAAUUCUUCUUUGUAAAAGUUUUUAAUACACUGCUGAAAGAUAAAUUCAUUCCAAAGAGAAUGAUUAUAAUAUCAAGAUAUUAUCAGCACAGUGGUUUCUUAGAGGUAAAUAGCGCCUCAUGUGUGUUAGAUGCUAAAUCUGACCAAACAGUUGAUGUCCCGCUGAACAUUAUCAGAAAAGCUGGUGAAACCCCAAAGAUCAACACGCUUCAAACUCAGCCCCUUGGAACAAUUGUGAAUGGGUUGUUUGUAGUCCAGAAGGUAACAGAAAAGAAGAAAAAUGUAUUAUUUGACCUAAGUGACAAGACUGGGGAAAUGGAAGUAUUGGCGGUUAGAAACGAGGACACAAUGCAAUGUAAGGAAGGAGAUAAGGUUCGACUUACAUUCUUCACACUGUCAAAAAAUGGAGAAAAACCACGGCUGACAUCUGGAGUUCAUAGCAUCAUAAAGGUUAUUAAGGCCAGUAAAAAAACAUAGAGAAAUAAAAAGGACCAAUUCAAGCCAACUGGUCUAAGCAGCAUUUAAUUGAAGAAUACGUGAUACAUCCUCUUCAAUCAGAUUCAAGGGGAACAUAUUGGGAAGAGGGAACUCGUACCAUGGUUAAGAAACUGCUGCUUGGUGUUGAUGGAGGCAUCUGAGGAGUGUGGAGAUGGCUCUCAGCUGUGCCA
Chlorocebus sabaeus (green monkey) is the source of this 2173-nucleotide RNA transcript. It is a transcript of the gene named absent in melanoma 2, with no coding region annotated. Lineage: Eukaryota; Metazoa; Chordata; Mammalia; Primates; Cercopithecidae. The record is from RefSeq and is a predicted model, not a curated record.